Molecule: ribosomal RNA, 492 nt
Filed under: uncultured bacterium
Lineage: Bacteria
Description: partial 16S ribosomal RNA
Rfam family: Bacterial small subunit ribosomal RNA
Source: RNAcentral
AGUGAACGCUGGCGGUAGGCCUAACACAUGCAAGUCGAACGGCAGCACAGUAAGAGCUUGCUCUUACGGGUGGCGAGUGGCGGACGGGUGAGGAAUACAUCGGAAUCUACUUUUUCGUGGGGGAUAACGUAGGGAAACUUACGCUAAUACCGCAUACGACCUACGGGUGAAAGCAGGGGAUCUUCGGACCUUGCGCGAUUGAAUGAGCCGAUGUCGGAUUAGCUAGUUGGCGGGGUAAAGGCCCACCAAGGCGACGAUCCGUAGCUGGUCUGAGAGGAUGGUCAGCCACACUGGAACUGAGACACGGUCCAGGCUCCUACGGGAGGCAGCAGUGGGGAAUAUUAGACAAUGGGCGAAAGCCUGAUCCAGCCAUACCGCGUGGGUGAAGAAGGCCUUCGGGUUGUAAAGCCCUUUUGUUGGGAAAGAAAAGCAGCAGGUUAAUACCCCGCUGUUCUGACGGUACCCAAAGAAUAAGCACCGGCUAACUUCGUG